This 777-nucleotide ribosomal RNA is filed under the name uncultured bacterium. Its description in RNAcentral is "bacterial SSU rRNA". It matches the Rfam family "Bacterial small subunit ribosomal RNA", at positions 8 to 796 of the family's 1533-position model. The record is from RNAcentral.
AGAGUUUGAUCCUGGCUCAGGACGAACGCUGGCGGCGUGCUUAACACAUGCAAGUCGAACGGUGACGGAGGAGCUUGCUCCUCUUGAUCAGUGGCGAACGGGUGAGUAACACGUGAGCAAUCUGCCCCUGACUCUGGGAUAACCUCGGGAAACCGAAGCUAAUACCGGAUACGAAGCGCGAAGGCAUCUUCAGCGCUUGGAAAGAAUUUCGGUCAGGGAUGAGCUCGCGGCCUAUCAGUUAGUUGGUGAGGUAACGGCUCACCAAGACGACGACGGGUAGCCGGCCUGAGAGGGUGACCGGCCACACUGGGACUGAGACACGGCCUAGACUCCUACGGGAGGCAGCAGUGGGGAAUAUUGCACAAUGGGCGCAAGCCUGAUGCAGCAACGCCGCGUGAGGGAUGACGGCCUUCGGGUUGUAAACCUCUUUUAGCAGGGAAGAAGCGAAAGUGACGGUACCUGCAGAAAAAGCACCGGCUAACUACGUGCCAGCAGCCGCGGUAAUACGUAGGGUGCAAGCGUUGUCCGGAAUUAUUGGGCGUAAAGAGCUCGUAGGCGGUUUGUCGCGUCUGCUGUGAAAACGCGAGGCUCAACCUCGCGCCUGCAGUGGGUACGGGCAAACUAGAGUGCGGUAGGGGAGAUUGGAAUUCCUGGUGUAGCGGUGGAAUGCGCAGAUAUCAGGAGGAACACCGAUGGCGAAGGCAGAUCUCUGGGCCGUAACUGACGCUGAGGAGCGAAAGCGUGGGGAGCGAACAGGAUUAGAUACCCUAGUAGUCC